GUAGUAACUCUGCCUGUAGCUCCUCCGGGGGCUACUGCCGGUCCCAAGCCUGGAUAAAGGAGGAGGAUUGG
Molecule: non-coding RNA, 71 nt
Organism: Schistosoma mansoni
Lineage: Eukaryota; Metazoa; Platyhelminthes; Trematoda; Strigeidida; Schistosomatidae
Source: Rfam